CAGCCGCCACGGUAAUACGAAGGGGGCUAGCGUUGCUCGGAAUGACUGGGCGUAAAGGGCGCGUAGGCGGCGAUCAAAGUCAGGCGUGAAAUUCCUGGGCUCAACCUGGGGGCUGCGCUUGAUACUUGGUUGCUUGAGUGGGGAAGAGGGUCGUGGAAUUCCCAGUGUAGAGGUGAAAUUCGUAGAUAUUGGGAAGAACACCGGUGGCGAAGGCGGCGACCUGGUCCUUGACUGACGCUGAGGCGCGAAAGCGUGGGGAGCAAACAGGAUUAGAGACCCCCGUAGUCCCUGUCUCUUAUAA
Molecule: ribosomal RNA, 301 nt
Filed under: uncultured bacterium
Lineage: Bacteria
Description: partial 16S ribosomal RNA
Rfam family: Bacterial small subunit ribosomal RNA
Source: RNAcentral